This 253-nucleotide ribosomal RNA is filed under the name uncultured bacterium. Its description in RNAcentral is "partial 16S ribosomal RNA". It matches the Rfam family "Bacterial small subunit ribosomal RNA", at positions 524 to 776 of the family's 1533-position model. The record is from RNAcentral.
UACGUAGGGGGCAAGCGUUGUCCGGAUUUAUUGGGCGUAAAGAGCGUGUAGGCGGUCAGGUAGGUCCGUUGUGAAAACUCGAGGCUCAACCUCGAGACGCCGAUGGAAACCAUUUGGCUAGAGUCCGGAAGAGGAGAGUGGAAUUCCUGGUGUAGCGGUGAAAUGCGCAGAUAUCAGGAAGAACACCCGUGGCUAAGGCGGGUCUCUGGGCCAUUACUGACGCUGAGGAGCGAAAGCGUGGGGAGCGAACAGG